CCUACGGGUGGCUGCAGUGAGGAAUAUUGGUCAAUGGAUGCGAGCCUGAACCAGCCAAGUCGCGUGAGGGAAGACGGUCCUAUGGAUUGUAAACCUCUUUUGUCGGGGAGCAAAAGACGCCACGCGUGGCGUUCCGAGAGUACCCGAAGAAAAAGCAUCGGCUAACUCCGUGCCAGCAGCCGUGGUAAUACGGAGGAUGCGAGCGUUAUCCGGAUUUAUUGGGUUUAAAGGGUGCGCAGGCGGAAGAUCAAGUCAGCGGUAAAAUUGAGAGGCUCAACCUCUUCGAGCCGUUGAAACUGGUGUUCUUGAGUGAGUGAGAAGUAGGCGGAAUGCGUGGUGUAGCGGUGAAAUGCAUAGAUAUCACGCAGAACUCCGAUUGCGAAGGCAGCAUACCGGCGCUCAACUGACGCUCAUGCACGAAAGUGUGGGUAUCGAACAGGAUUAGAUACCCUUGUAGUC
Molecule: ribosomal RNA, 459 nt
Filed under: uncultured bacterium
Lineage: Bacteria
Description: partial 16S ribosomal RNA
Rfam family: Bacterial small subunit ribosomal RNA
Source: RNAcentral